This 274-nucleotide ribosomal RNA is filed under the name uncultured Streptomyces sp. Its description in RNAcentral is "partial 16S ribosomal RNA". It matches the Rfam family "Bacterial small subunit ribosomal RNA", at positions 509 to 782 of the family's 1533-position model. Lineage: Bacteria; Bacillati; Actinomycetota; Actinomycetes; Kitasatosporales; Streptomycetaceae. The record is from RNAcentral.
CAGCAGCCGCGGUAAUACGUAGGGCGCAAGCGUUGUCCGGAAUUAUUGGGCGUAAAGAGCUCGUAGGCGGCUUGUCGCGUCGAUUGUGAAAGCCCGGGGCUUAACUCCGGGUCUGCAGUCGAUACGGGCAGGCUAGAGUGUGGUAGGGGAGAUCGGAAUUCCUGGUGUAGCGGUGAAAUGCGCAGAUAUCAGGAGGAACACCGGUGGCGAAGGCGGAUCUCUGGGCCAUUACUGACGCUGAGGAGCGAAAGCGUGGGGAGCGAACAGGAUUAGA